UACGUAGGGUGCGAGCGUUGCCCGGAUUUAUUGGGCGUAAAGGGCGCGUAGGCGGCCACGCACGUCCGUUGUGAAAUCGCUCGGCUCAACUGGGCGGGGUCAGCGGAUACGGUGUGGCUAGAGCAAGCUAGGGGGCAAUGGAAUUCCCGGUGUAGUGGUGGAAUGCGUAGAUAUCGGGAGGAACACCUGUGGCGAAAGCGGCUCACUGGACCACAACUGACGCUGAGGCGCGAAAGCUAGGGGAGCAAACAGG
RNAcentral lists this ribosomal RNA (253 nucleotides) under uncultured bacterium. Its description in RNAcentral is "partial 16S ribosomal RNA". It matches the Rfam family "Bacterial small subunit ribosomal RNA", at positions 524 to 776 of the family's 1533-position model. The record is from RNAcentral.